AUCUUUGCGCUUGGGGCAAUGACACAGUUAGUGAAGUGAAACAAAGAGGCGUCAAUUGCUGGUUGAAACUGUUUCCAUAUCACAUCUUCAGUUAUGUAAGAAUCAUCUAUGUGACACGAUUUAUAAUCAUUUCAAAGAG
Molecule: small nuclear RNA, 139 nt
Filed under: Marchantia polymorpha subsp. ruderalis
Lineage: Eukaryota; Viridiplantae; Streptophyta; Marchantiopsida; Marchantiales; Marchantiaceae
Description: U4 spliceosomal RNA
Rfam family: U4 spliceosomal RNA
About the family: U4 small nuclear RNA (U4 snRNA) is a component of the major U2-dependent spliceosome.
Source: Rfam by way of RNAcentral